GAUGAACGCUGGCGGCGUGCCUAAUACAUGCAAGUCGAGCGAACGGACGAGAAGCUUGCUUCUCUGAUGUUAGCGGCGGACGGGUGAGUAACACGUGGAUAACCUACCUAUAAGACUGGGAUAACUUCGGGAAACCGUAGCUAAUACCGGAUAAUAUUUUGAACCGCAUGGUUCAAAAGUGAAAGACGGUCUUGCUGUCACUUAUAGAUGGAUCCGCGCUGCAUUAGCUAGUUGGUAAGGUAACGGCUUACCAAGGCAACGAUGCAUAGCCGACCUGAGAGGGUGAUCGGCCACACUGGAACUGAGACACGGUCCAGACUCCUACGGGAGGCAGCAGUAGGGAAUCUUCCGCAAUGGGCGAAAGCCUGACGGAGCAACGCCGCGUGAGUGAUGAAGGUCUUCGGAUCGUAAAACUCUGUUAUUAGGGAAGAACAUAUGUGUAAGUAACUGUGCACAUCUUGACGGUACCUAAUCAGAAAGCCACGGCUAACUACGUGCCAGCAGCCGCGGUAAUACGUAGGUGGCAAGCGUUAUCCGGAAUUAUUGGGCGUAAAGCGCGCGUAGGCGGUUUUUUAAGUCUGAUGUGAAAGCCCACGGCUCAACCGUGGAGGGUCAUUGGAAACUGGAAAACUUGAGUGCAGAAGAGGAAAGUGGAAUUCCAUGUGUAGCGGUGAAAUGCGCAGAGAUAUGGAGGAACACCAGUGGCGAAGGCGACUUUCUGAUCUGUAACUGACGCUGAUGUGCGAAAGCGUGGGGAUCAAACAGGAUUAGAUACCCUGGUAGUCCACGCCGUAAACGAUGAGUGCUAAGUGUUAGGGGGUUUCCGCCCCUUAGUGCUGCAGCUAACGCAUUAAGCACUCCGCCUGGGGAGUACGACCGCAAGGUUGAAACUCAAAGGAAUUGACGGGGACCCGCACAAGCGGUGGAGCAUGUGGUUUAAUUCGAAGCAACGCGAAGAACCUUACCAAAUCUUGACAUCCUUUGACAACUCUAGAGAUAGAGCCUUCCCCUUCGGGGGACAAAGUGACAGGUGGUGCAUGGUUGUCGUCAGCUCGUGUCGUGAGAUGUUGGGUUAAGUCCCGCAACGAGCGCAACCCUUAAGCUUAGUUGCCAUCAUUAAGUUGGGCACUCUAAGUUGACUGCCGGUGACAAACCGGAGGAAGGUGGGGAUGACGUCAAAUCAUCAUGCCCCUUAUGAUUUGGGCUACACACGUGCUACAAUGGACAAUACAAAGGGCAGCGAAACCGCGAGGUCAAGCAAAUCCCAUAAAGUUGUUCUCAGUUCGGAUUGUAGUCUGCAACUCGACUACAUGAAGCUGGAAUCGCUAGUAAUCGUAGAUCAGCAUGCUACGGUGAAUACGUUCCCGGGUCU
This 1372-nucleotide ribosomal RNA is filed under the name uncultured bacterium. RNAcentral describes it as "bacterial SSU rRNA". It matches the Rfam family "Bacterial small subunit ribosomal RNA", at positions 28 to 1381 of the family's 1533-position model. The record is from RNAcentral.